This is a non-coding RNA of Anas platyrhynchos (mallard), 6670 nucleotides long. The record is from RefSeq and is a predicted model, not a curated record. NCBI's taxonomy places the organism in Eukaryota, Metazoa, Chordata, Aves, Anseriformes, Anatidae.
AGCCUCCCAUUCCCCUUUGUUGUCGGAGCACAUUUUGCUCCGGUGUCAGCCUGUGUCAACCCCAACCUCUCCCUCCGCGCUGCUGGCGUGGCUCCAGCCUCCCAAACGCCGGCUUGGCUCCCUCCUGACACCUCCAUGGGAUCCGUCACAACACCUCGCCGCAUAACGAGCAGGCGUUUCCUCCCCAUCAGCACACGGAAAGGUAAUUAAAGCUGGGUAGGUACUGCUGGUGUUGUGGUUGUCGCUCUCCGAGGCUCAACAGCACCAACGCGACUUCUGCUCAAUUAAGCCCGGGGAUAAAAAUAAAAUAAGAGAGGGUCCUCGGCAGCCCUUUAUGUCUGCAUGUUACAGCCAGAGCCUGGGGUUUACGCACACACAGCCCCUGGAAGGGCUUCCAGUAAAGAUGUCUCCAGCUGGAAUGCCCAUUGUAUCCACGUGCACAUCCACACCUGGCUGCGUGCAUGUGGCCAUGCACACACCUCUGCGUGUAAAUCCCAAAUCUGUGCCCCUUCCUGCUCAUGCUAAGGGUGCCUUCCUCCCCGUUACAACAGCAUUUGCACAUUUAUGGGAGGAAUAAAGAAAGAAAAAAAAAAAAGGAUGCAUGAGCCAUGCGGAGGAGCCUUCCCUCUGCCAGCCAGAGAAAGAAGAACUAAAAGGAUUAUAAAAGUUCAGAUUAAAAUGAUAUAAAAUCUAGCAUUUGGCUCCAACACUAGUGCCUUGGUCCUCUGUAGCUAAUCUGUAUGCACUCUGUGACCUCCUCGCAGCGAACCCUGCUAAAUAUAUUAUUCCCACGGGGGCUUUCACUGCUGCUUGGUGUCAGAAAUCAAUAUGUAUGAGGCGCGUGGAUGGGAAUUUCUAAUAGAUCUGCCUGGCCCUGUGCUGCUUUUCAAUAUCUGCCUUGGACUAUUAGUGCCGGCUCGGUGCCUGUGAAAUAACCGAGAUAAUCUUUUAAGGUGCGCUGUUAAGGUGGAACCCAAACGUUGCCGUUUCAAUUAAAACAGAGAAAUAUUACAUAUAUUCAUAAAUCAGCCGGCGCCGCGCGCAACCUCGCUUAUAAACAAUGAUGGGGAUUAAAGUAUUAGGGCGAGCAUGCUAAUGGCCGGGUUGCUGGGGGAGCGCUGAGCUCCUUCCUGAUUUUUUUUUAUGAUGAUCAUGUUUUUUUUAUCAACAGCAAAUUGGGGGGAUUCGGGGUGGGGGGCAGGUUCCCGGCCACCAGGCUCUGUCCCCGCAGCAGCCCAGCACCCUGCACCGCUCUCCAUUUUGGAGAGCAGCUCAACCUCAGCACCCGAGCCUCUGCCCUGCUGUGAAUGAGGGCAGGGGCCCGAUCUGUGGGUUCCUGCAGGGCUGCCCCUUGCCCUGUGCUGCCCUCCGGGGUGGUGCUUUGGGGAGCUGGGUGGUGGGGGUGGCUGUGGCCCCCCCACGCCGCUGGCUCCUGCGCCCUCUUUGUCUCCAGCUCAGCGCGCAGGGGAAGCCGUCUCAGCUCCACGCACAGACGUGUGGCUGCAGGAAGGCAGUGACUUGCUAAAGGGCCUCUCGCUUUUUUUUAUAUUAUUAUUAUUAUUUUUAACAGGGAGAGGUCUCCGGCUCUGCUCAGAGCUGGAGAUGGCAAGGGAGAGCCUUCAGCCUCCAGCCCCACCGAUGCUCUCCCCCUGCCGCACAACCCAGCGUUUUCUUUCCUCCCCAUCCCCUGCCCCGGCCUGCAGCAGCCCUGUUGGGAAGGGGAAGCAGGGCUGCCCCCAGCCCGAGCCCCCUCUGAGGUGCCCGGCUUGCCCCGAGCCUCCCCUGCACCUGGAGCACUGCAAAUGUUUAUAAAGGGCUCCGGCACCGCGGGCGGCUUUACCCCGGCUGCCGAGAGCUGGCUCGGAGCUGCCGGGGCUCCUGGCGGUAUUUGUAAUACAAACACUUCUAAUCUAACGCACGCAAUUCCCCGCCGCUUAAUAGGGCUGAAGUUCCCCUCCCGCCUCCCCUUUCUCAACCCAUCAAUUAGGUGGGUAGAUGUGAAAACAAACAGCCUCUGUGUUUUCUGCCUCUCUGAGGAGGUGUAAUGGUGCGAAGUGCUGGUGGCGGGCGUUUGCUGAUGGGAAAAGAGGAGCCGAGUGGGUCUGGGCACGCAGCCGGCUCCGUGCGGUGGCCGUGGUGGUGGCCCUGGCACAGGAGGACUGCGAAGGAGACUCCUGGGGUGUAAAACCUCACCGGGGUGUAAGGGCAGAGUAGCACCACUGGAGUAAAGGGGAGCAGCCUAGGGCUGGUGCAGCAUCUGGCCGGCUUCGACGCGCUCCUGGAGGAAGGAGCGAGCACAGACCGUGCGUCCGCCCUGCAAUACUCACCUGCAACGUAGAUAACAUCAGCGCCGAAUAGAAAACCUCCCUUCCAGUAAUUGUGACCUUUCCUAAGGCAGGCACUCUACUGUAAAGGUGGGCUCUCUGCGGCGGUGCUGUUAAGGGAAACACGGUCAAAAUAACCUGUUAGAGGUUUGCUUGGGGCUGCGACGGAGGAAACACUGGGGUGGGUCCCGUGAAUCGGGCAGGAAGAAUCACACAGCAGCAGCGAUGCUCAUCUGGGUCAGUGCAGUCAUGGGCACCACGGUGGAAACUGAUGGGCUGCGGCUCGGCCCCCCCCCUCCGCUGCUCCCUGGGGCUCUGGCGAGGAGCAGCAAUUCAUCCCGGCCCUUCCCAGCACGUCGCUCCUGCUGCGCCCCAGGAUGCGGUGCUGCAGGGCCAGAGUGCAGCACAAAGCAGGGAAUCCAGCACAGGCCACGCGUAUCAGCAGGUAUCUGAGGGGGCAAAGACAGCUGUGACUGACUCGGGCACGAGCCAGGUGACGGGGGACCCACCAGCAGGGUCAUGCCCUGGGAAGCUAAAAUAAGGGCAAAAAUUAAAAAUAAAUAAAUAAAAUUAAACAUUAAAAUUGAAAAGAAAAAAAAAAAAAAGAGUGGGCAAGUGAACUUUUUUUCCUUUCCCUGGCUUCUCUUUUUUUUUCUCAACUGUUGCAACUCUCGCUUAUGUUAUUGGAGUCAGAUGUGCUGGGUUGCAACAGGAAAAAAAAAAAACAAUUAGGUAAUAAUCCUGCUCGUGCUUCGCCUUUGUGGUGAGGCUGCCUUGGCAUCGUCCCCAUCCCACAAAGCGAGCCCAGGUCGCCCUUUCCAGCAGCAGCAGGAAAUGAACGCCAGGGCCCGGCGGCGCCUCCAAAUGGUGCCUGGCCAGGGUGGCUGUGCCAGCUCUGCACGGAUGGGGACGGGUCCCGGCUGAUUUGGCUGCUCAGCUCAGCUGCCUUUGCUGUCCCUGCUCACACCCAGGUUAAGCACUCGUCCUCCUUCCGCCAUCCAAUCCUUUCGGCAAGAUCGAGAUCACGGCCACACCCCGGGCCUGUGGCGAGCAGUCGCAAUGAUGCCAUUUUUGUGCAUAAUGCUUGUAACACCAUCAGGCGGGCGUGCAACGAGGACGCCGGCUCCUUUAUACGGGAGGAUGGUCUGCAGUUGUGUGCAGGCAGCUGGCCAGCCCGGCUGCCUCUCCCUCUAGAAACCCCAUCCCCGUGCAGGUUGCUGGCAGCUCACACGCCUCUUGAGGGACGCCACAAAGAGCUACAAGGUGAGAUUUCCUCUUACUUCUGCUUCUAGACGUCCACCAGGCAUCGCUGGCUGGGGCACGGGACCCCGAGGGCAGGGCAGGAGGCAGCCCCAGACCUCCUGAGCCGACACGUGAGCAGCGCGAGCAUCGCCCGGCUCGGGUUGGAAGCCACUUGUCCAUAGCUCUGCAUUAACCCACACACCCUCGGUCAACACGGCAGCCGGGCAAGCUGACUCUCCAUCUCUAGGCAUGGAUAUCCAGCUCUAGGCAUCUCUAAAACGCAGGCACCAAGGAGACGAAGCCCACUGCAUAGAUCAGCUACUUCUCACAGAGCCUGGUGGCCUCAGACACCCCCAGCUAGAAAUCAGAGCUUCCUACGAGCCACAUGGACCGAGCUAUUCCAGUCACGGUCUCGACACACAAACCUUCUUUCCCCUUAGAUCUGCAUUUCUUCUAUUUUUUUUUCCCCGAAGAAGCGCAGAUGGCUAGCAUUGGUAACUCCGUGACGAGGGCAGAUGUAAAGGAGCGAGGGAAGAAAGGUGUUCUCAGCUAGAGAGUGCGAUAAACUGAGCUGGGGGAAAAUGCUCCGAGUAAUUAGUCUGGGCUCUGACUGACGUGGCGGCACCUGAAGAUCUUCCUACGAGGCUUCUGAUGAAUUAUUUUCUAGCACAGAUCCUUCACUCAGCAAGUCAAGGGUGGCUUACACAGACCAAUGAAUCCCCAACCACAGGAGCUUCCCUCACAGGGCACUCAGAUUUAGACAUCUUGGUCUACUCAGAAGUGCCUUCAAAGUUUGUUGGGAAAUUAAGCCAUGAGGAUUCAAGUCUAAAACCCACUUUUCAGGGAAUGGGCAGCAGCAUUACAAACUAUCCUUGUUUAUUAUAUUAAAAAUAACACGAAAACACCUUAAUAUAGUUUGAAAACUUCAAAGAAGAAUGGAGGCGCUUACUUCCUGAGCAUUACAGCUUAUUCAGGCAGCCUAGAUGACUUGUCUUACAGGAUUACCACUCGCUACAUGCAUUUCCUUUACUCUUGUUAGGCAAAACCGCCUUUCCAGAGAACCCAGCUAUCCCAACAACCGCGUCCAUCCUAAAUACCAAACAGCAAAGGGAAUCAAGGCCAGGGUGGGGGCAGAUCCCAAUAUCUGUGUGAUGCUGAACUUCACCUUUCUUUCCUCAGAGAGGGCUGGUGGUCUCCAAUGUCACUGUAUAUUCUACCGACAAGAAGCGUUUCUUAUUUUCCUAGACUUUAGGGCCAUCUACCCAUGCCCUCUGCACACUGGUGACCAAGCAGAUCCUGGCAUCAAACUAAGGUAGAACUUACAACAAAGCCACCUCCGCAACUUUCUCAAAUUUCACAAGUUAUCCAGCAAAGCCCAUGGGAAUCCGAGGAGGACUGGGGCCUCCCAGAAGGCGCGUUGCUUUGCACCGCUAGACCAUUCAUAAUUUCAGACCUGUUCCUUGGAGAAAUAUCAGGGAGAGCUGAAAUGGCUGGUGGCAAAAACAAAUUGAGUCCAGCAUGGCCUAGAAGAAUUGAGCUUCCACGCAAAAGGAUAUUUCCCUUCCUCUUAAUAGUCUCAGUAAUGAGUUUGUCAGUUUGGGCUUUGAAGAAUUACCUGCUUGUUGUUUGGAUUGGUUUUUCUUUUUUAGAUUUUUUUUUUAAUUAAAAAAUAAAAGCUAUAAAAAGCUAAAGGUAGUUUUAAACUGCAGGGUUCAUAUCUGGGGUGAGUAUUUCUCUGGAGCUGAGGGACGUUUUUCAUUCAGACUGGUAUAAAACAAUACUCAAGGGGAAAAAUAGUUGAAAGAGAAAGCAUUAAAGGAAUAGGAACUCGGAGACCUCUUCCUGCUUCCAAAUCGACCAUCUCACAAAAUUAGCACAUUUCCUCCCUGCGAAUUCUGUAUCUAAUCCAGAGAGAUCACUGAAUGGUGCCUGAGCAACUUGGCAGCCCUUUUCCUCCUCUUCAAACACAACUCGAGGCUCACUCUUGGCAUUGUCUAAUGAGCGGCCCAGGCCUCGCAAGAGCAUCUAUCCAUACGGGCUUCGAAGAAGGAAGCCAGGAUCAGCGAAAAAUCCACCCCUGUUCCUUUUGGUUUUGCUGCUUCCUUUAGAAAACAAAAGAUCCCUGGAAAGUCAGCUGGGAUCGAAGGACCCUGUUGGCCCAAAGGACCUACCUCGUCUCGCACACCCUGUCCCAGUCCCGCGCUGGCACACACGAGCUGUUACGUUCAUGCACGGCAUAUUCACAGAGCAAGGACAACCAGGUGCUGUGCCUGCCCACCUCUCUGGAGUUGUUUUAAUGCCUGUCUGUAGCACGGGGAAAUGAAAUGGGAGCAGGAAACGGAUUCCUUUCCUAGGUGCAUCUCACAAGGCAGGCAGAGAGCAGAACUGAACUGAGCAGCAGUAAAACACAGAGCAAGGCAUCGCCACCAUUCACAAACCACGCUCGUAAUCCCCGAUGCUCCAGGAGCGCCGUGACACCCCGCCCUCAGCACUAGGUUCUGCUGCCAGAGUUACGGAUGAGGUUUCACCAUCACACACUCUUCCCUACCAAGGUAACUGCUAAGUGGUCGCGUCACCCUCUCUGGUCCACCUUCCCUGCACAACAGAAGGGCUGAGUCCGUCUUACUUCUCACUUCACGACCCUUUCUGUAGCCUCCACAUCUCAACAUCACGCUCCUAGUUUUACAAAGGGAUUGUUUUUUUUUUUUUCCUGCUACCUUGAACAACUCAGAGCACAGCAUUACCUGCAGGUACACAGCUUACGGGAUGUCCAUCGACUGCCAAUUGAGAAGGAAUUGGUCGCGUAGCUGUUGUACCGUCACUUCAUAAGCAUUCAUUCCCAAACAUGUGACUGGGGUCAGCUUUUGGACCCUCUGCCUCACUCUGAGGGUUCUUUUUUUAAAAGCAGUUUUCACUGUUUAAGAUCCCACAAACAAAACCUGUUUAUGGAAAAAGAGAGAUAUUUUGAAUACUAAAGUCCUUUAUUCAACAACACAGAAAUAUCACAAAAACAACUUUACUGGGCAAAUUGAAUGUUUUUAUACAGUUUUGUACAUGCCCCAUAAGUGAUUAUUUUUUUUCAUAAAUACACUGUUUUCCAAAAC